GACGAACGCUGGCGGCGUGCUUAACACAUGCAAGCUGAACGGAAAGGCCUCUUCGGAGGUACUCGAGUGGCGAACGGGUGAGUAACACGUGGGUAAUCUGCCCUGCACUUCGGGAUAAGCCUGGGAAACUGGGUCUAAUACCGGAUAUGACCACGAGGCGCAUGCCUUGUGGUGGAAAGCUUUUGCGGUGUGGGAUGGGCCCGCGGCCUAUCAGCUUGUUGGUGGGGUGAUGGCCUACCAAGGCGACGACGGGUAGCCGGCCUGAGAGGGUGUCCGGCCACACUGGGACUGAGAUACGGCCCAGACUCCUACGGGAGGCAGCAGUGGGGAAUAUUGCACAAUGGGCGCAAGCCUGAUGCAGCGACGCCGCGUGGGGGAUGACGGCCUUCGGGUUGUAAACCUCUUUCAGCAGGGACGAAGCGCAAGUGACGGUACCUGCAGAAGAAGCACCGGCCAACUACGUGCCA
This 467-nucleotide ribosomal RNA is filed under the name Mycobacterium sp. FI-97072. RNAcentral describes it as "bacterial SSU rRNA". It matches the Rfam family "Bacterial small subunit ribosomal RNA", at positions 28 to 510 of the family's 1533-position model. The record is from RNAcentral. Lineage: Bacteria; Bacillati; Actinomycetota; Actinomycetes; Mycobacteriales; Mycobacteriaceae.